This 696-nucleotide ribosomal RNA is filed under the name uncultured bacterium. Its description in RNAcentral is "bacterial SSU rRNA". It matches the Rfam family "Bacterial small subunit ribosomal RNA", at positions 32 to 715 of the family's 1533-position model. The record is from RNAcentral.
AACGCUAGCUACAGGCUUAACACAUGCAAGUCGAGGGGAAACGAUAUUGGAAGCUUGCUUCCGAUAGGCGUCGACCGGCGCACGGGUGAGUAACGCGUAUCCAACCUGCCCACCACUUGGGGAUAACCUUGCGAAAGUAAGACUAAUACCCAAUGAUAUCUCUAGAAGACAUCUGAAAGAGAUUAAAGAUUUAUCGGUGAUGGAUGGGGAUGCGUCUGAUUAGCUUGUUGGCGGGGUAACGGCCCACCAAGGCAACGAUCAGUAGGGGUUCUGAGAGGAAGGUCCCCCACAUUGGAACUGAGACACGGUCCAAACUCCUACGGGAGGCAGCAGUGAGGAAUAUUGGUCAAUGGACGAGAGUCUGAACCAGCCAAGUAGCGUGCAGGAAGACGGCCCUAUGGGUUGUAAACUGCUUUUAUAAGGGAAUAAAGUGAGAGUCGUGACUCUUUUUGCAUGUACCUUAUGAAUAAGGACCGGCUAAUUCCGUGCCAGCAGCCGCGGUAAUACGGAAGGUCCGGGCGUUAUCCGGAUUUAUUGGGUUUAAAGGGAGCGUAGGCCGGAGAUUAAGCGUGUUGUGAAAUGUAGAUGCUCAACAUCUGCACUGCAGCGCGAACUGGUUUCCUUGAGUACGCACAAAGUGGGCGGAAUUCGUGGUGUAGCGGUGAAAUGCUUAGAUAUCACGAAGAACUCCGAUUG